CAGCCCCUCGAGUGGUGGGGAUGAUUAUUUGGCCUAAAGCGUCCGUAGCCGGCCGAGUAAGUCCCCCGUUAAAUCCAGCGUCUCAAGCGUUGGACUGCGGGAGAUACUACUUGGCUAGAGAGUGGGAGAGGUGUGCGGUAUUCUGGGGGUAGGGGCGAAAUCCUUUGAUCCCCGGAGGACCACCAGUGGCGAAGGCUGCACACUAGAACACGUCUGACGGUCAGGGACGAAAGCUGGGGUAGCGAACCGGAUUAGAUACCCGAGUAGUCC
This 270-nucleotide ribosomal RNA is filed under the name uncultured archaeon. RNAcentral's name for it is "partial 16S ribosomal RNA". It matches the Rfam family "Archaeal small subunit ribosomal RNA", at positions 477 to 747 of the family's 1478-position model. The record is from RNAcentral.